RNAcentral lists this ribosomal RNA (468 nucleotides) under uncultured bacterium. RNAcentral's name for it is "partial 16S ribosomal RNA". It matches the Rfam family "Bacterial small subunit ribosomal RNA", at positions 28 to 507 of the family's 1533-position model. The record is from RNAcentral.
GACGAACGCUGGCGGCGUGCUUAACACAUGCAAGUCGAACGGAAAGGCCCUGCUUUUGUGGGGUGCUCGAGUGGCGAACGGGUAAGUAACACGUGAGUAACCUGCCCUUGACUUUGGGAUAACUUCAGGAAACUGGGGCUAAUACCGGAUAGGAGCUCCUGCUGCAUGGUGGGGGUUGGAAAGUUUCGGCGGUUGGGGAUGGACUCGCGGCUUAUCAGCUUGUUGGAGGGGUAGUGGCUUACCAAGGCUUUGACGGGUAGCCGGCCUGAGAGGGUGACCGGCCACAUUGGGACUGAGAUACGGCCCAGACUCCUACGGGAGGCAGCAGUGGGGAAUAUUGCACAAUGGGCGGAAGCCUGAUGCAGCAACGCCGCGUGCGGGAUGACGGCCUUCGGGUUGUAAACCGCUUUCGCCUGUGACGAAGCGUGAGUGACGGUAAUGGGUAAAGAAGCACCGGCUAACUACGUG